UGAGCAAUCUGCCCUUCUCAUCGGAAUAAGCGUUGGAAACGACGUCUAAUGCCGAAUACGACCUCCUUUCGCAUGAUCGGAGGUGGAAAGCUCCGGCGGAGAAGGAUGAGCUCGCGGCCUAUCAGCUAGUUGGUGUGGGUAAUGGCCCACCAAGGCGACGACGGAUAGGCCGGCCUGAGAGGGUGACCGGCCACACUGGGACUGAGACACGGCCCAGACUCCGUAGGGAG
This 230-nucleotide ribosomal RNA is filed under the name uncultured bacterium. RNAcentral's name for it is "partial 16S ribosomal RNA". It matches the Rfam family "Bacterial small subunit ribosomal RNA", at positions 118 to 347 of the family's 1533-position model. The record is from RNAcentral.